Oryctolagus cuniculus (rabbit) is the source of this 2213-nucleotide non-coding RNA. Lineage: Eukaryota; Metazoa; Chordata; Mammalia; Lagomorpha; Leporidae. The record is from RefSeq and is a predicted model, not a curated record.
GUCCGAGGCCUGGGAGGAGCUGUCCGCCUCGCUCAGCGGGUCAGCUGGACACCAGAGAGUGCUGUAGUCGCCGGCACCAUCACAGUCCUCGUGGCUUUCCUCGGUGAACCCCAGCCCCUGGGCGCUUUGGUGCACAGGAUGCAGGAAGCCGUGAUGACCAGCAGGAGAGCGAGGAGCGCCGCGAACCCAAAAAUGAUGCCGCUGCUCUGGUCCUGACCUCUACAAGGAAAACCGCAGCGCGCUCCAGCCACGCAGUCCCACGGACUCAGAGGAAAUGAAGUCAGUGUGUCAAAGCGACGCGUGCACUGCUGUGUUUGCUGAGCCUUAUUUGCCAUACUCAAGGCGUGGACUCCACCCCUGCGCCACUCAGCAGGUACAUAGACAACACAGAUGUGCUGUACACACCCAGCUGUACUGUUCGGCCUUGAAGAAGAAGGGCAUCUUGUCCUUUGGGGCAACACAGAUGCAAUGAGAGGCUAUUGUGUCGAGCAGAUAACCCAGGCCAGAAAGACAAACACGUAUGAUCUCCCAUGCGACUUGGAGUCUAAGCCAGCUGAACUCACAGCAGCAGAGAGUAGACGGGGACCAGGGGCUGUGGGGGAGGGGUUGUAGGGAUGACAGUUACCAGAUACGAAAUUUCAGUUAGAAGGAAUAAACUCGGGGCCAUGGCGCACUAGGUUAAUACUCCACCUGUGGUGCUGGCAUCCCAUAUGGGCGCCAGUUCUAGUCCCGGCUGCCCCUCUUCUGAUCCAGCUCUCUGCUAUGGCCUGGGAAAGCAGUAGAAGAUGGCCCAAGUUCUUGGGCCCCUGCACGCAUGUGGGAGACCGGGAAGAAGCUCCUGGCUCCUGGCUUCAGAUCGGUGCAGCUCUGGCCAUUGUGGCUGUCUGGGGAGUGAACCAAUGGAAGGAAGAUCUUCCUGUCUCUCCCUCUCACUGUCUGUAGCUCUGUCUCUCAAAUAAGUAAAUAAAAAAUCUUUAAAAAAAGAAGAAAUAAACUCAAGAGGUCUACUGCACACUGUGGUUACUGUGUUUAAUAACAAUGUAUCAUAGCCCUAAAAAUAAGAGAGAGUGAAUUUUAAGAGUUCUCCCCAUGAGAAAGGAAGUAAGUGAAUUAGUGCAUAGCCAUUCUGCAAUGUAUACAAUAUUUCAAAACAUGUUAUGCACCAUACAUGAUUGUUCUUUACAAUUAAAAAACAAAAUUAUCUUAAAAAUAAAUAGCUAGGUGAGGGAGCAGGCUUCUGACAACUUUCAGGAAUUCAUUCUUCAUCAGCACCCACGUCUCACUCGCAAGCGACAUAUGUUUGCCACAGUAAAAACGCGUUUCUCAAAAUGACAGCGAUUUUAAAAUGUAUUAUCAUGGGCUUGUAUUUUUCUCACGGUACUGACCUUUCUUGCUAGCAGUGUUUCUAAAGAUUCAAUGGCUGAUGGACUUAUCUUUACUGGUGCGAGACCGAGAGUAGCAGCGGUGACACAGAUGCCCCCUUAGUCCCAGGAGAGGCUAUGUCCUAAAGAUGAGUCUUUAUGCUGAUAGGAUUCCAUUUUCUAUUCAUGGCAGGUUUCUAGAACCUAAAGACACAUCCUUGGGAAACUGGGCUUUUGUUUCUAUCACGGUAGGAUCAUGUUUGCUUCACUUUCUACUUUUAUUUAUUCAAAAGUCACACAGGGAAGAGAAAGAGAAAGAGAGAAAGUUUGAUUUCCCACUGGCUGGUUCACUCCCCACGAGCCUGAAAUAGCCAGGGCUGGGCUAGGCUAAAGCUAGGAGCCCAGAACUCAAUUUGGGUCUCCCACACAGGUGGUGGGGAGCCAGCUACAGCAUCUGCUUCCUCCCAGGGUGCACGCCUGCAGGAAGCUGGCAUCAGAUGUGGAGAUGGGACUUGAACUCAGGAGUAGGAUGUGAGAUGCGGGUAUCCCAAGGGCAUCUUAACGGCUGCGCCACAUGCCCACUUCCUAUUUUUUUUUUUUUUUUUGAGGGGUGUUUGGUGGGACCUGAGUUAGGGAAGAUGGAGGACGGGGCGCAGGGGCCCUGAGGGAAGUCCAGGGGAGUCAGGCCACCAGCAAAGAGGACCCGUGUAAUUGGACUUCCUGACCCCUCAUCGCCUGCCCGUCCUCCCGCCAGCCCCGAGCAAAUGCCUCCGAGCCCAGAGCUUGUGGCCUUGGGGGACCCGAGCCUGUUUGAGGCUCCCCAAGGUGGGGGGGGGGGCGGGGAAGCCCCAU